UGCCAGCAGCCGCGGUAAUACGGAGUGUGCAAGCGUUACUCGGAAUCACUGGGCUUAAAGCGCACGUAGGCGGAAAUGCAAGUCGAUUGUGAAAGCCCCCGGCUCAACCGGGGAAUUGCACUCGAAACUGCGUUUCUUGAGGACGAGAGGGGAGAGCGGAACUUCUGGUGGAGCGGUGAAAUGCGUAGAUAUCAGAAGGAACGUCGGUGGCGAAAGCGGCUCUCUGGCUCGUUUCUGACGCUGAGGUGCGAAAGCGUGGGGAGCAAACAGGAUUAGAUU
Molecule: ribosomal RNA, 279 nt
Filed under: uncultured bacterium
Lineage: Bacteria
Description: partial 16S ribosomal RNA
Rfam family: Bacterial small subunit ribosomal RNA
Source: RNAcentral